AUGCAGCUCCUGCCCGGGCUCCUCCGUGCAGCGCAGCCGUGCUGGGGCUCCCCCCAAACCCCUUCUCCACCCCGUGCCGAGGAAGCUCAGCAGCAGCUGAGCCGUGCUGCGGGCUGCGAGGUUUGCUCCGGGCUAUUUUUUCUCCCCAGCUGCUGCUGCAGGAGCCUGAGGCUGGGUUGGGGAGCGAGGAAACUCUGCAAGGGCAUGGGCCAGGGGGAGGUGGCUGGAGGGGCAGAAGGACUUGGGGAGCUUCCCCAUGGGGACGCACGGCUUGGUGUCACCGUGCAGGAGGGACAAAGGUGCCCAGGCCUGGCUGGUGCCACUGCUCAGCACCUGGUGUGGCUGCUCCCACGCCUGCAGAGGAGCAAUAACAAUGCUCAGGGCGAGGGCAAGGGUGAGGCAGUGGCUCAGUCCCGGUGCUGGGAUGGGGGUGACGACGCUGCUGCCCUGCCCUGGCCCAGGGGACGUCCCCAGAGGAGUCCCUGUAGCAGUCCCCAGCCUCGGAGCAUCCCUGCUAUCGUGCAGGGAAGGGCACAGCACGACCUCGGCUCCUGCAGCCCAUCAGAUCCCCUCUCAGUGUUCAGGAGGCAGCCUUGGACCGAUGCAUCUUUCAGAAACGGGCCUCUCCCCGCACCCGAGGACAUCGGGGAAGGACGUCUGCCCCAGCAGGUAAUCCCACGGGGUGCCUCACUUCCCAGGUGGAAUUUGGCCCCCCCUCUUCCCAGGCCUCAGCUCUGGCUCCACCACCUUCGCUGCGUUGUGGCCCCCGGACACCUGAUGCUUUGCCACAGGCACCAGAGCUCCCCCACGGGUGACCCCACGGUGGGUUUGGGGCUGAGCCCUGCGCCCUCCCUUCCCCCUAGAGAAAUAUCCUCACAGUGGCAUCAACCUCUUCCCGUACAGCAGGAAAAUCCCUCCCCGCUCCUGCGUGCAGACUUCCUGCUUCGUGCAGCGGGGAGCACAAAACACAGCCAGAGCCCGGCCACCGCAUCCGAGCCAAACCAUCCCCAAGGGAAUGGGGACCCCGUCCCUGCUGUCACCCCCCCCAAGGCCACUAAAGCCGAGAGAGGGAAAAAUCCCACCCGGGGUGGGAGAUUUUGGUGGUGA
This 1107-nucleotide long non-coding RNA is filed under the name Anas platyrhynchos platyrhynchos (common mallard). Its description in RNAcentral is "lncRNA (ENSAPLG00000017962.1)". The record is from RNAcentral. Lineage: Eukaryota; Metazoa; Chordata; Aves; Anseriformes; Anatidae.